RNAcentral lists this ribosomal RNA (468 nucleotides) under uncultured bacterium. Its description in RNAcentral is "partial 16S ribosomal RNA". It matches the Rfam family "Bacterial small subunit ribosomal RNA", at positions 28 to 507 of the family's 1533-position model. The record is from RNAcentral.
GACGAACGCUGGCGGCGUGCUUAACACAUGCAAGUCGAACGGAAAGGCCCGGCUUUGGGGGGGUGCUGGAGGGGCGAACGGGGGAGUAACACGUGAGUAACCUGUCCCUGACUGUGGGAUAACUUCAGGAAACUGGGGGUAAUAGCGGCUAGGAUCUCCUGCCGCAGGGUGGGGGUGGGAAAGUUUAGGUGGUUGGGGAUGGACUCGCGGCUUAUCAGCUUGUUGGUGGGGUAGUGGCUUACCAAGGCCUUGACGGGUAGCCGGGCUGGGCGGGGGACCGGCCCCACUGCGCUUGAGCUAAGGCACAGACUAGUAUGCGACGCAGGGGAGGAGAAUAUUACACUAUGCGCGGGAGCAUGGUGCAGCCAAGCCGCGUCCGGGAUGAGAGGCAUGGCGUUGUAAUCCGAAUCCGCUUGUGCCGAGGCGUGAGUGACGGUACUGGGUAAAGAAGCACCGGCUAACUCCGUG